GUCACGCCUAACUAUGCGAACUAGGUGUUGGGAAGGAGACUUCUUAGUACCGCAGCUAACGCGUGAAGUUCGCCGCCUGGGAGGUACGGUCGCAAGAUUAAAACUUACAAGGAAUUGACGGGACCCGCACAAGCGGUGGAUUAUGUGGAUUAAUUCGAUGCAACGCGAAACCUUACCUACCCUUGACAUGUCAGGAAGUCUGCUGAGAGGUGGAUGUGCCCGAAAGGGAACCUGAACACAGGUGCUGCAUGGCUGUCGU
Molecule: ribosomal RNA, 259 nt
Filed under: uncultured bacterium
Lineage: Bacteria
Description: partial 16S ribosomal RNA
Rfam family: Bacterial small subunit ribosomal RNA
Source: RNAcentral